UCAUAGUGUCACGCCCCGAUCCUCAGGUACGCACACAUCCUUCUACUUGGUCGAUUUUAUAAUGCGAUAUCCCAGGACUAUGUAUCGCCGACCCUUUCAUUCUUAUUAGCACAUGCAAAAGCAGUUAUAAAUCCCCAGACAAUAAAACGAUAUGAUAGAAAAGUAAGGCCAUAUUUUUCAUAUUGAAAUUUACAACCAUACUUUUAUACAGAGCAUAACUCAAAGUAUUUCACAAACUGUUCACGACUUUCUAAUUUCACUCCAUUUUACAUAUGAACACUGAUCACAAAAGGGGAUGGGAUCUCAGUCCUCAUCCGGGUCAUAUUCAGGAUCAUCCUGAUCCUCUUCUAACUUAUCUUCACUAAGCUCAUUCCCUUCGAGCUCUUCAUCUUUUUCUGGCUCAUUGUCAUCUUUUGGCUCCUCCUCCUCAGUCUCAUCUACGAGCCUGAAAUGUUGUCCCACAACCGGGAUGAGACUACGUCUCAGCAAGCUCUACCACACUAAGGCCUGAUUAGUAAACCAUUAUACUAUAGGCUGCCUAAACACGCACAGGUCAGAGGACUUACCUUGGUCUCAUAUCCCACCUGCAAGUCAGUACAAUUCAUAAUAGGCAUCCACUUACUUAAACAAAUCGAACUAGUCGAUUACAUGUCACCCAAAUCAUUCCCCACGGUGGAAUAUCUAGAAGUUAGGCCACGUGCAUUCUCCAGGACGACAUCCCAAGUCUCUGAGCCACGUGCCUCAAACCUUGGGCCCACUUGCAUUCUCUAAGGCGACCUCUUCGCCAAGGUGGUACAUCAAGUCACCAAGCCACAUGCCCUUUUAGAUGCCAUUCUCGAAUACUAGACCCACGUGCAUUCUCUAAGGUACUAGUUCACCAAAGUGACGCAUCAGAUCACCGAGCCACGUGUCCUUUUAGAUGCCAUUCCGGAACGUUGGGCCACGUGCAUUCUCUAAGGCACUAGUUCACCAAAGUGACGCAUCAGAUCACCGAGCCACGUGCCCUUUUAGAUGCCAUUCCGGAACGUUGGGCCACGUGCAUUCUCUAAAGCACUAGUUCACCAAAGUGACGCAUUAGAUCACCGAGCCACGUGCCCUUUUAGAUGCCAAUACUCAAUCGUUGGACCCACAUGCAUUCUCUAAGGUAUUAGUUCACCAAAGUGACGCAUCAGAUCACCGAGCCACGUGUCCUUUUAGAUGUCAAUACUUAAUCACCAAGCCAACAUACCCUUCUCCAGGUGAUUUACUUUCUACCAUGAUUCCACUAUGAAACAAUGCCUUUCUCUAUAGUUCGCCAAUCCACUAUCAACACCCAAUUAAUUCCCAAUCGAAUAAUCAAAUAAACUCAAUAGGAAUAUAUCAUAAAAUUCACAAUUUAAAUCAAUUCCAUACAUAUUGAAGCUCAAUUAAAUAAAUAGACUGCACCAUGACGAUCAGUACAAAAUUCCGAUCACCGGCCAUCCCGGUUGAAUUUCCGAAAAAAUAAAUAAAUAAUUAAUUAAUUUCAAAGACUAAUAAUUAAUUACUAAAAAUCCAAUUUAUGCUCGUAUUACCUAAUUGAAGCCCGCUAAGGGUCGGGAAAAAUCCCGGGAUACAUUCAAUAAAUAGUAGACUAUGUUUACUUGCUAAUUGCACAAUCAAAAUGUCUAAUAUGCAUCAUGAUUGUCUAAUAAUUACUAAUCUAAUCUAAUCUAACACCUAAAUUGCACUUAAAUAAAUAUAAUCAACCCCUAAGCAUAAUUAGCAAACUAAGUAGGGAUUAGUGAGAUUACUCACUUGAUUUGCAAAGAACGGAACACCGCGACGGCGGCCGAACUUGGACCCGCGACAAACUUGGACCGGGCCAAUAAACUUUACAAGCCCACAGAAAUUUAUGGGCUUGGGCCUGCUGGAAUUCUUGGGCUGAACUUGAUCUGGGCUUCAAGACUGGGCUGAAAUGGGCUUGAAACAAAGCUGAACUGGGCCUGUCUUUGCUGAAGCUGGGCCAGGCUUCAAGUGGCUGAAUUGCUGGACUUUUGGGCCCAACUAGACUUAAAUUCGCUGGGCUUGAGGAUUGCUGGAGAUGGGCCGGCUUGUUGGGCUCGUGGACUUGCUGCACUUGUGGGUUCGGUGGCCCAAAGGAGCUGCUUACACGUGCUGGGCCCCGAACAGGAAGACAGAAGCAGCUUCGGGCGAUGGCGCAAGAGGAAGGGUCUUCGGUCACAGAUGGUGGAGAGUGCAGAGGAGAUUUCGUUCGGUGGAAGCUGGCUGUCUUUGCUGGCAGCAACGAAAUGAAGUGGAGCUGCAGGUUUGUGAGGAGGAAUUUGUGGGCUGAGGCGUGAGUGGCCGACAGGGUCAACAAACGGCAAAGAGCAGCUUCGGUUGACCUGGACGCGUGAAGAUGGAGCAGCUUCGUGAGACGGGGGCUGAGCGGAGAGAGAGAGAGGGCUUCGGUUCAAGAAUUCGGUGGCAGAGGAGCUGCAGGUGAGAUGGCUUCGCUGGCGUGGGGCUUGCGGUCAAUUGACCGGUGGAAGACGCCUGGCAGAAGACACGGAUGGAGAAGCAGCUUCGGUUUCUCUCUUCCGCUGGCUGUGGUGGUCGAAUGGAGAGGUAGAGGAGAGAGAGUGUGGAUGAAAGUAUCGGUCAAAGAAAGCAGAAAAAUGAGAUAAGCUUUGACUAAAAUCAAAGCAACCGAGAGGUGGGGAAAUAGGAUACGACAGGGGGAGGGAGAUGUCGGUGUGGGGCUGUUCCGCACGAGAGAGAGAGAGA
RNAcentral lists this long non-coding RNA (2748 nucleotides) under Eucalyptus grandis. Its description in RNAcentral is "long non-coding RNA (EGRA_LNC002734)". Lineage: Eukaryota; Viridiplantae; Streptophyta; Magnoliopsida; Myrtales; Myrtaceae. The record is from RNAcentral.